UACGUAGGGGGCGAGCGUUGUCCGGAUUCAUUGGGCGUAAAGAGCUCGUAGGCGGCUUGUCAAGUCGGGUGUGAAACCUCCAGGCUCAACCUGGAGACGCCACUCGAGACUGUCAUGGCUAGAGUCCGGUAGGGGAUCACGGAAUUCCUGGUGUAGCGGUGAAAUGCGUAGAGAUGUGGAGGAACACCAGUGGCGAAGGCGACUCUUUGGUCUGUAACUGACGCUGAGGCGCGAAAGCGUGGGGAGCAAACAGG
This 254-nucleotide ribosomal RNA is filed under the name uncultured bacterium. RNAcentral's name for it is "partial 16S ribosomal RNA". It matches the Rfam family "Bacterial small subunit ribosomal RNA", at positions 524 to 776 of the family's 1533-position model. The record is from RNAcentral.